RNA transcript from Sorghum bicolor (sorghum), 1885 nucleotides. It is a transcript of the gene named probable serine/threonine-protein kinase PBL7, with no coding region annotated. NCBI's taxonomy places the organism in Eukaryota, Viridiplantae, Streptophyta, Magnoliopsida, Poales, Poaceae. The record is from RefSeq and is a predicted model, not a curated record. The transcript has 6 exons.
UUGCUGUGAAAAAGCUUCAUUCAAUGCCACAACGACUUGAAUUUGAAGAGGAAGAAUUCAGGAAGGAGUUUGAGAACCUUAGGAGACUCAACCAUCCUAAUAUUGUAGAGCUACUUGGCUACUGCUAUGAAACAAGGCAUGAAUUUGUCGAGUAUGAAGGGAAGUUUGUUGUUGCUGAUGAAAUCUACAGAGCUCUCUGCUUUGAGUUUAUGCACAAUGGAAGUCUACAAGAACACCUUGACGAUGAAUUCCAUGGACUGGACUGGCAGACGCGCUACAAAAUUAUUAAGGGGACUUGCGAGGGUCUGAAAUAUCUUCAUGAGGGUCUGGAAAGUCCUAUGUACCAUUUAGAUCUAAAACCUGAAAAUAUAUUACUCAACAUGGAUAUGGCGCCAAAACUUGCAGAUUUUGGUUUAUCAAAGCUUGUCUACGAUGACCAGACUCGAGCCACGUUGCGCCCUUUAGGAACAAUUGGAUACUGUCCUCCUGAAUUCAUUGAACAGAAUUAUGUUUCCAACAAGUUUGACAUAUUCAGCUUGGGUAUUGUGAUGAUAAAGAUAAUUGCUGGCUCCGAAGGCUACCGCAAGACAGCUGAAAUGCCUUCCCAAGAAUUUAUCUAUCAUGUACAAGAAAAUUGGAGAAAAAGGGUACAGGUAAUACCGGGUUGUACGUUACAAAAACAUGAAUGCCACCAAAUGAAGAGAUGCAUUGAAAUAGCUUUAGAGUGUGUCAGUGCUGACCGAAAGCAAAGGCCUAACAUUGGGGAUAUCACAAGCAGGCUGAAUGAAACAGAAAAUAAUACUGAGAAUUGGCCAGGACUUUUGCCUCUGAAAAGGAGAGCUUACACAUUGUUGUGACAUCUCUACACAAGAAAUUCCAUGGAGGCUAAAUGAAGAAAACCAAGUGUGCAUGGAAGAAGUCCAUUCUUGUUAGAACAAACAAUCACAGCUUCUUCAUACUUGUUGAUAGCCAAAAUUGUCAAAAUGCACAAUGGACUCCACCGUUAUGUUUCUCUCGUCGAGACGAUCGAAAAGCAUGUAUGGAUUGUCUCGUUUGUUGUUCCUCUCAUCAUGUAUGGACUCCCAAAAGUCCCAACUAUGGAUUCCCUUAACUUUUCCUGUAGCCAAACAGGCGCUGCCGCUUUGCAUGCUCUUUCAGAAUUCCAUUCGUCAAGCAACAGAACAAACAACUAUGGGACGAGCAGAACGUGUUCCGCCGGCUUCGUGGCUCUGCGCCAUGCGCGGCACCGCUGCUGUAGAUCGAGGGCCAAGUUCCUGCUCAACGUCGGGUCCAAGAGGGAGCUCAGGGAGGCCAUCAAGCUCCCCCGCGUGGACGCAGGCAGGAGAGACCAAACGAGCGCAUGGAGGCGACCGUAUUCCAGUUCAUGGCGGCAGCUGCCGUCGUCUCCGCUGCUGGAGGAUGCGGGCGACGUGGUGCACGUGUCUGCAGAUGCGGUGAUUUGUGGUGGCGAAGCUAGAGGGCAGGGCUCGAUCGGCAAGGUGCACGCGUUCGCCCACGCCCACCAAGAAACAGCAACGGUGGUAGCCAUGAAGGAAGCAGGAGGAGGGGACGCAGAGAAAGGGAGGAGAAGGUGGAGGGAGGAAGAAUUACACCCUGGUGUGCUACCACUAGCUGCCUGUCACUCGUGGUCAUCUUCAACUAAGUGGCCCAUCCUCGAUGCCAUGCUCAGCCUCUUCUCAAUGCUUGCCUCGGUUUCCCUAUUGGAUGGACUGUAAAAAGGACACCAUUUUUGCAUCGAUGCUUCAAUUUCACAUGGACCCUGGCAGCGGAGCCGCGAGGGAGAGGGAAAGAGGUUUUCUGAACCCAAGAUCCCAUUUGUACCCAAAAAUAUUAGAGAAAUAGAAACAAGAGAGUUGUUAGUUUC